CGGGGAGACAAAGAGGGCGCGAGGUGUAGGGGAGGCUGGAAGGGCUGCGCCUCGAACACAGAGAUGGGCUCGCACUCCGGGCCAAGUAACGUCCUCCGAACUUUUACCCCUAAGUCACUCCUACCCUCUGGACACAAUCCUGGUUCUCAGAUCCCAGUCCCUUGGCUAAAACGGCCCGGCUUUGUGGGCGUUGGAGCUUUCUCAAAGGCGAAACCAAUCCAGUGACAAUCUAUCACUUGACUGGUAAUAGAGUCUGCUGGAGAGCAGGUAGAAGCCAGAGGGACUGUCACCACCAUCGCCAAGCUCUAUCUCACCUAUCUAUCUCACCUGGAGAGUUAAUCGCCUCUUGGAAUCUCAGCUGACCAGUGACAGUGCCUCUCAAGACAAGGCAUACAUGGGCCCCUGAUGCCCUGAGCUGUGGACUUAAAUGACUGCAAAGGUCAAAUCUCAGCCCAGUUGCUUAGUGUGUGUGUGUGUAUACAUGUGGCCAGAGGUCAACAUCCAGUGUCUUCUUAUUAACCUUAUUUUAUAUUUUAUUUACCUCUUUUGUUUUUCAAGACAGGGUUUCUCUGUGUAGCCCUGGCUGUCCUGGAACUCUCUCUAUAGACCAGGCUGGCCUCAAACUCACAGAGAUCCGCCUGCCUCUGCAAUGCUGCUUCCCAAGGCGUGCGCCACCACCGCCACCAGGCUCCACCUUAUUUUUUGAGCCAGAGUCUCACUGAAUCUGGAGCUCACCUACUACCAGCGGGUCUCAGGGACCCUCCUGCCUCUGCAGAGCCGGGCUGUGGGUGUGGGCUGCAGCACCUGGCCCCUCACAUGGUUUCUGUAGAAGACCCAGGUCCUCAGUUGACGAAGCAAGCCUAGACCAUCUGAGCUGUCCCCUCAGCUCUCAACCCUGGCAUCUGCGUCUUAGCUACCUGUAUGACUUCCGAUCAGCUAUGUUUGCUCCUCUGACCUCACAGGUUCAUAGCAUUAGUUCAGUGCAAUGAUGUGUAGAAAACACCGGCACGGAGCACAUGCUAGAUGGACGCCAUGGCUGCUCCUUUCACUUCUUGGCAGGAACAAAGGGCUACGGUGUUGGAUGGGUAUAGGGCAUAGCCAGGCCUGGGACAAAGCAGCCUUGGGUCAGGCCAGGCUCUGGGGCUUGGGGU
Molecule: long non-coding RNA, 1151 nt
Filed under: Cricetulus griseus (Chinese hamster)
Lineage: Eukaryota; Metazoa; Chordata; Mammalia; Rodentia; Cricetidae
Description: lncRNA (ENSCGRG00015042365.1)
Source: RNAcentral